GGAGGCAGCAGUGGGGAAUUUUGCACAAUGGGGGAAACCCUGAUGCAGCGACGCCGCGUGAUUUAGAAGGCCUUCGGGUUGUAAAAAUCUUUUUUACGGGAUGAAAAUGACAGUACCGUAAGAAUAAGGUCCGGCUAAAUACGUGCCAGCAGCCGCGGUAAUACGUAUGGACCGAGCGUUGUCCGGAAUCAUUGGGCGUAAAGGGUACGUAGGCGGCCUAAUAAGUUAGAAGUGAAAGAAUAUAGCUCAACUAUAUAAAGCUUUUAAAACUGUUAGGCUUGAGAGAUGAAAGGGAAAGUGGAAUUCCUAGUGUAGCGGUGAAAUGCGCAGAUAUUAGGAAGAAUACCGGUGGCGAAGGCGACUUUCUGGUCAUCAUCUGACGCUGAGGUACGAAAGCGUGGGUAGCAAACAGGAUUAGAUACCCUGGUAGUCCACGCUGUAAACGAUGAGUGUUAGGUUCUUGGAAUAAUCUGGGAGCCGCAGCUAACGCAUUAAACACUCCGCCUGGGGAGUACGCACGCAAGUGUGAAACUCAAAGGAAUUGACGGGGACCCGCACAAGCAGCGGAGCAUGUGGUUUAAUUCGACGCAACGCGAAGAACCUUACCAAGUCUUGACAUAAUACGGAGGGAAUUAGAGAUAAUUCCUUACCACUUCGGUGGGCUGUAUUACAGGUGGUGCAUGGUUGUCGUCAGCUCGUGUCGUGAGAUGUUGGGUUAAGUCCCAUAACGAGCGCAACCCCUAUCGUUAGUUACCAUCAUUAAGUUGGGGACUCUAGCGAUACUGCCGGUGAUAAACCGGAGGAAGGUGGGGACGACGUCAAAUCAUCAUGCCCUUUAUGACUUGGGCUACACACGUGCUACAAUGGCAGAUACAGAGGGCAGC
Molecule: ribosomal RNA, 884 nt
Filed under: viral metagenome
Description: bacterial SSU rRNA
Rfam family: Bacterial small subunit ribosomal RNA
Source: RNAcentral